Molecule: ribosomal RNA, 484 nt
Filed under: uncultured bacterium
Lineage: Bacteria
Description: partial 16S ribosomal RNA
Rfam family: Bacterial small subunit ribosomal RNA
Source: RNAcentral
AUUGAACGCUGGCGGCAGGCCUAACACAUGCAAGUCGAGCGGAUGGAGGGAGCUUGCUCCUGGAUUCAGCGGCGGACGGGUGAGUAAUGCCUAGGAAUCUGCCUGGUAGUGGGGGAUAACGUCCGGAAACGGGCGCUAAUACCGCAUACGUCCUGAGGGAGAAAGUGGGGGAUCUUCGGACCUCACGCUAUCAGAUGAGCCUAGGUCGGAUUAGCUAGUUGGUGGGGUAAAGGCCUACCAAGGCGACAAUCCGUAACUGGUCUGAGAGGAUGAUCAGUCACACUGGAACUGAGACACGGUCCAGACUCCUACGGGAGGCAGCAGUGGGGAAUAUUGGACAAUGGGCGAAAGCCUGAUCCAGCCAUGCCGCGUGUGUGAAGAAGGUCUUCGGAUUGUAAAGCACUUUAAGUUGGGAGGAAGGGCAGUAAGUUAAUACCUUGCUGUUUUGACGUUACCAACAGAAUAAGCACCGGCUAACUUCGUG